This 456-nucleotide ribosomal RNA is filed under the name bacterium enrichment culture clone ALO1_GLFRUDD03GNP82. RNAcentral's name for it is "bacterial SSU rRNA". It matches the Rfam family "Bacterial small subunit ribosomal RNA", at positions 9 to 481 of the family's 1533-position model. The record is from RNAcentral.
GAGUUUGAUCCUGGCUCAGAUUGAACGCUGGCGGCAUGCCUUACACAUGCAAGUCGAACGGCAGCACGGGAGCUUGCUCCUGGUGGCGAGUGGCGAACGGGUGAGUAAUGCAUCGGAACGUAUCCUGGAGUGGGGGAUAACGUAGCGAAAGUUACGCUAAUACCGCAUAUUCUGUGAGCAGGAAAGCGGGGGACCUUCGGGCCUCGCGCUCUUGGAGCGGCCGAUGUCGGAUUAGCUAGUUGGUGAGGUAAAGGCUCACCAAGGCGACGAUCCGUAGCAGGUCUGAGAGGAUGAUCUGCCACACUGGAACUGAGACACGGUCCAGACUCCUACGGGAGGCAGCAGUGGGGAAUUUUGGACAAUGGGGGCAACCCUGAUCCAGCCAUGCCGCGUGAGUGAAGAAGGGCCUCGGUUGUAAGUACGUACUUUCCCGUACGGGUAACGGAAAGUUAGUAC